This 460-nucleotide ribosomal RNA is filed under the name uncultured bacterium. Its description in RNAcentral is "bacterial SSU rRNA". It matches the Rfam family "Bacterial small subunit ribosomal RNA", at positions 32 to 506 of the family's 1533-position model. The record is from RNAcentral.
AUCAACGCUGGCGGCGUGCCUAACACAUGCAAGUCGAACGAGAAAGCGACCUUCGGGUUGCGAGUAAAGUGGCGAACGGGUGAGUAACGCGUGGGUGAUCUACCCUUUGGAGGGGGAUAACCCGCCGAAAGGCGGGUUAAUACCGCAUAAGCCUGUGAGGUCGAAGUCACAGGGAAAAGUUUUUUGCCGAAGGAGGAGCCCGCGUCCGAUUAGCUAGUUGGUAAGGUAAAGGCUUACCAAGGCAGUGAUCGGUAGCCGGUCUGAGAGGACGGACGGCCACACUGGGACUGAGACACGGCCCAGACUCCUACGGGAGGCAGCAGUGGGGAAUUUUGGGCAAUGGGGGCAACCCUGACCCAGCAACGCCGCGUGGAGGACGAAGGUUUUCGGAUCGUAAACUCCUGUCCCGAGGGAAGAAAGAAAUGACGGUACCUUGGGAGGAAGCCCCGGCUAACUCCGU